This 72-nucleotide transfer RNA is filed under the name Adiantum flabellulatum. Its description in RNAcentral is "tRNA-Val". It matches the Rfam family "tRNA". Rfam says of the family: Transfer RNA (tRNA) molecules are approximately 80 nucleotides in length. Their secondary structure includes four short double-helical elements and three loops (D, anti-codon, and T loops). The record is from RNAcentral. Lineage: Eukaryota; Viridiplantae; Streptophyta; Polypodiopsida; Polypodiales; Pteridaceae.
AGGGCUAUAGCUCAGCGGUAGAGCGCCUCGCUUACACCGAGAGUGUCUACGGUUCAAAUCCGUAUAGCCCUA